Cucurbita moschata (crookneck pumpkin) is the source of this 1698-nucleotide RNA transcript. It is a transcript of the gene named OTU domain-containing protein DDB_G0284757-like, with no coding region annotated. The transcript is spliced from 13 exons. Lineage: Eukaryota; Viridiplantae; Streptophyta; Magnoliopsida; Cucurbitales; Cucurbitaceae. The record is from RefSeq and is a predicted model, not a curated record.
UUUGGAUUCCACUCCGCGAAACACACUCUCUGUGCAGCGAUGGAACUUGGAGCAUCUUUGUUCUAUCUCGAUCCAAUCGAAGGUUAAAGGCCACCUUAAAGUCUAUGCUCCAACAAACCGAAGGAUGAAUUUGUAUUUAUCUGCUUUCUAUUAGAGAAAUCUCCAUUUUCAUUUUUGGGUGCUCAUUACAGUACAUCCUGAUUUAGGAAUUUUUAUUUGGAGAUGAUUACUCACGAGCAAGAUCCUGAUGUCGUUCGAUGGGGCCUUGAACUCUUUGAUGGCAAUCCAUUUUCUAAUUACGGGUAUUGCGGAAACGUUGAUCACGAUGAGAUACAAUACUAUCAAGGACAAUGUUUUGAUGCAGAUAGUUAUGACAAGAUAUGCAACAUAGAAAAUAGUGAGCUUAUUGCUCAAACUCUCCAAGAACUCUCACAGCUUGCAGUGGCAGAGCCAGUAUCCUUUGAUGGAGGGAUAGAAAAUGUACAACUUUCCAUGUGUCCACAAGAUUGGUUUAGUCUGUCCAUUAAUACCUUUGGUCCUGAGCAUAAUAAUGAUCUGGAAGAGGAAGAUGAUAGUUCAUGUGCCAUGCCUGUCGAGACAUCCUACAGUGUGGAUGACUGGUCAUAUUCUUUAGAGCUGACUGAUGAGUAUGCCCUUGAUGGAGAAGUGGGAAAAAGAUUGAAUCAGAUGGUCUCAAUUCCUCAUAUUCCAAAAAUUAAUGGAGAAAUUCCUUCUGUUGAUGAAGAAGCUUUAGAUCAUCAAAGACUAUUGGACAGACUGCAGCUAUAUGAUUUGAUCGAGUUGAAAGUGCAAGGAGAUGGUAAUUGUCAGUUUCGUGCUCUGUCAGAUCAAAUUUAUCGAACUCCUGAGCACCAUAAAUUUGUGAGGGAGCAAGUUGUUAAUAAGCUAAAGUCAUAUCCAGAGAUAUACGAAGGAUAUGUUCCCAUGGCCUACACUGACUAUCUGAAAAAAAUGUCCAAGAGUGGGGAAUGGGGCGAUCAUGUCACUUUGCAGGCUGCUGCAGAUACGUAUGGUGUUAAAAUUUUCAUGAUUACAUCAUUCAAAGAUACCUGCUACAUUGAGAUUCUUCCUAAUAUUGAAAGGUCCAAAAGAGUUAUUUGCUUGAGCUUUUGGGCUGAAGUGCACUAUAACUCAAUAUAUCCUGAAGGAGGAAACUAAACGAAUUAAGUUGCAUCAAACUAAGCUCCAUCAAUUUAGUACUCUCCCACUCCCUUCCCUUCUCUCUCUCUCUCUAGCAUUCGGAUAAGGCUAAUCUUCCAAGUUUUGUAAUUCUUGCUGAUGUUCCCAUGUUGGAGACGAGGAACAAUAGGUGGUGGAUGCUUCAAAACGAGCAUCAUCUGGAAUGACGGCUCAGAUAGCAAUUUUCAAAUAUUGCUAAUCACAGUCUUCACCAAGCUUUAUGGACAUUUCAGUCUCCAUAAGAGUUCAGCUACUUGGUUCCUUUUUCCUCCAAGGUUUUGUUCCUAUGUGCAACUCAUAGGAAAAAUUAUGCCAAAUACAGAAAUGCUGCCAUGCUUUUUGAUUAAUGUGUGCAUCUAUCUCUAACAUUUGCCUGGAAUCUUUUCGUUCUCUCCCCCCCCUCAUUUUUUGGGUUCAAGUAACUUUAAAAUUGUAACCUCACACUUGCUAAUUAUGUCAUGCUAUUUUCUGCCUCUAUGUACUCCAAGUCUGAAAUCA